This 468-nucleotide ribosomal RNA is filed under the name uncultured bacterium. Its description in RNAcentral is "partial 16S ribosomal RNA". It matches the Rfam family "Bacterial small subunit ribosomal RNA", at positions 28 to 507 of the family's 1533-position model. The record is from RNAcentral.
GACGAACGCUGGCGGCGUGCUUAACACAUGCAAGUCGAACGGAAAGGCCCUGCUUUUGUGGGGUGCUCGAGUGGCGAACGGGUGAGUAACACGUGAGUAACCUGCCCUUGACUUUGGGAUAACUUCAGGAAACUGGGGCUAAUACCGGAUAGGAGCUCCUGCUGCAUGGUGGGGGUUGGAAAGUUUCGGCGGUUGGGGAUGGACUCGCGGCUUAUCAGCUUGUUGGUGGGGUAGUGGCUUACCAAGGCUUUGACGGGUAGCCGGCCUGAGAGGGUGACCGGCCACAUUGGGACUGAGAGACGGAGCAGACUCCUACGGGAGGCAGCAGUGGGGAAUAUUGCACAAUGGGCGGAAGCCUGAUGCAGCAACGCCGCGUGCGGGAUGACGGCCUUCGGGUUGUAAACCGCUUUCGCCUGUGACGAAGCGUGAGUGACGGUAAUGGGUAAAGAAGCACCGGCUAACUACGUG